RNAcentral lists this long non-coding RNA (9260 nucleotides) under Nicotiana tabacum (common tobacco). RNAcentral describes it as "long non-coding RNA (NTAB_LNC002981)". Lineage: Eukaryota; Viridiplantae; Streptophyta; Magnoliopsida; Solanales; Solanaceae. The record is from RNAcentral.
AGACAUCAUUUGAUAUAUUGGGGUUUUUGUUUUUGGCAACUAAAGAAGCAGUGGAGCUAAAAAACAAAGCUAACUCAAAGAGUUUUAAGUUUUUUCCCAAAUACAAACAGAUAAAUAAAACUUGGUAUUAUUCAAAUCUCAGAAGUUUCAGAUUGUUCCAAAAGAACAAAGUAAGAAUAAGUGUGUAUAGCCAAACAACAAACAAAAACACAAACUUCUGAAUCUUUAAAACACCAAGAAAAAACAAAGAACCUAAGGCUUAUUUCAAACUUGUGAAGGUUUUCUUGGCUUUGUAUCACAGCUAAGAUUUCUGAGUCUGCUAGCUGGAGAAAAGUUUGUGUGAUUUAAAAAGAAAACACCAAAAAAAGACCAUGAAAGCAAAAGAGAAUAUUUCCUUUCUUUUUCUAACCAACACACACAUACACGCACAGAAAAAACACAGUACUUCUCUCUCUAUUAAUUCUCUCUCUCUCUCUCUUACAAGUUUUCUUGUUCAAUGUCCUUUUAUCUUUAUGUUGUUAUAUUUCAAAGUCGGUCAGCCAUAGAUUUAGCUGCUGGGCCACCUUUUUGUUUUGAUCUCUCUCUAUCAUAAAAAAAAAAAAAAGUUCGGUGAACAAAGCAUCCCGCAAUUUGAUAUAGGGUAUUGAAAAGGAUCGUACCUCAAGGGGUGUGAUGUAAUGCAAACAUUAAUGACUGUUUCUACGGCUAAAAUUCGUGACCUAUAAGUCAUUAAGGUCACACGAAAAUAACUUUACCGUUGUUCCAAGACUAGAAACUCUCCGUCAUGAAAUAUUUAUUUUUCAAAAGAAUACGUCCUUUUUAAAAUAUUUAUUUGUAUAUAUGUAGAAUUGGCUGUAUGCUGCUUGUAACCAGAAUGUGUAGAGCUCUGUGUCAUUUUGUAGUUUUUCGAGCUAAAUUCCAAUUAUCAAGACAGAUGAUAAUUUAAGAGGAUACUAAAAAAAUAGAAGCAAAAUAUUGUAACUACGAGAUUCAGAAUUUACAGCCACCGAAAUUGUCUCAAUGCCUCCCUGUUUGUUUUCUGUUUUUAUGUUUUCUUUUUGAGUGUAAUUUUUUUGUGAAAUGACGUGUAUUAAGAUAAUUACUAAUAUCAAGUCAGAUAUGGUGAUAUGAAAAAUGAAGUAAAUAACAUAUUAUAACAUAUUAAAAAACAUUAAUAAUUAAUGUGAAAAUACACAGUUAGCAUAUAUAGUUUUUUUUAUUAUUAAUUAGAGAAAUGAAAAUUUUAUGCAGCUUCUCAUUUUCUUCCUUUUAUUAUCUGCAUUUUCCAAAAUAAUGUUAAUGCUUAGCUCAUCCUUAAUUUAUAUUAUAUGUAACUUAGUUUUCUUCUGAUGCAAAACUCUCACACAUUAGACUCAUAUAUCAAUUUAUAUUAUGUAAUUAUAAAGAUCAACUAAAACAAAAACUUGCAGCUGCGCGCGUCCUACAAAAUGGUGUCGCCUUAUAAAACAUUGUUGAGACACAUGAAGGCGAAUUCGAGAGUUAGUGAGCUUUGAAUAAGUGUAAAUUUAUUAUAUGCACAUAGUUUAGUAUUUUUUUAUUAUAUAUAAAUAUAUUUCAAUAUAAAAGUAAUGAAUUUAAUUCAGUCUGUGAUUUAACAUUAUCAUAGGUAUGAGAAGGGCAUACGAAUAAAUUAUGUAAAGAUAUUUCAAUUUAUCUCCAACUAUAGUAUUUAUUGAUUUUCUAUGGUCAUCCUUUGGUCAAAUUAAAUUGUAAUAAUGAUGACAUUGCCAGAGUAGAAUGAGAAUAUUGGAGUAGAUAACGUUUUCGCAUUAAAUUUUGAACACAUUACAUAAGACAGAAAUACGCUGUUUUCAUCAUUGCUUCCAUUUUUAGUAAGUAUGACGCCAAGUCUCGUGGAGUAUAUCAUCGUUCCCUCUACAUUUUUAUUAGGUGUGAAAUGAGCACGCAUACUCUUGCAACAACAAAUAACAACAUACUCAAUAAUAUCAACAUUGUGGGGUCUCGGAAAAAAUAGUGUGUACGCAAAUCUUAUCUCUAUCCUUACAAUCUCUACUUUGUAAGGAUAGAGAUAUUAUUUUCAAUAGCCCCUCGGCGUAGGAAAGCAUAAGUACCACAUUAAUGAAAAUAUAGACAAGAAGGGACAGUACCAAGAAGCCAUAUAAAAGCAAAAUAAAAAUAAUCAGAUAGUAAGGUGAUCAACAAUGAAAGAAAACAACGGUUAGUCAUAAAAACCUACUACCAACAGAGAGCGAGGUUGCGUGCCAAUACUACUGUUAUGAACACUUUAGACUACCUACUCUACUACCCUAAUCCUCGAUCUCUAUACCUUCCUAUCAAGGGUCAUGUCCUCGGUCAUCUGAAGUUGCGCCAUGUCUUGCCUAAUCACCUCUCCCCACCUCUUCUUUGGCCCAUCCCAUCCUCUCUGUAGGCCCUCCAAUGUCAACCUCUCACACCUACUCGUCGGGGCGUUUGUGCUCCUCCUCCUCACAUGACCAAACACCUAAGUCGCGCUUCCCGCAUCUUGUCCUCAAUAGAGGCCACACCCACCUUGUCGCGAAUAACCUCAUUUCUGAUCCUAUCUCUAAUCUAGUAUGCCCGCACAUCCAUCUCAACAUCCCAUCUCUGCUACCUUCAUCUUCUGGACAUGAGCGAUCUUGACUGGCCAACACUCAGCCCCAUACAAUAUCGUUGGUCUGACAACCACUUUGUAGAACUUAGGUGGCACCUUCUUGUCAAACAUAAUACCGGAAGCGAGUCUCCAUUUUAUCUAUCCUGCCCCAAUACGAUGUGUGACAUCUUCAUCAAUCUCCCCAUCCUCCUGAAUAAUAGACCCAAGGUACUUAAAACUCCCUCUCCUAGGGAUGACCUGCGAGUCCAACCUCACCUCCCAUUUCCCUCCUUGAGUCUCGUCACUGAACUUACACUCCAAGUAUUUUGUCUUGGUCCUGCUCAACUUGAAACCUUUAGCACGCGUACUCUUAAUUUUCUUUUUUUCUUUGGAAUUAUAUAUAUAUAUAUAUAUAUAUAUAUAUAUAUGUAUGUAUGUGUGUGCGCGCGCGCGCGCAUAAGUACAUGCAAUAUAUACAUAGUGUUAUGGCUCAUUACUAAAUAAUAAAAUGGAUUUAACUAGGAAGUCUAGAAGAAAACGCAAUGAAUUGUUUCUUAUUUAUUGCAACUGAUAAAAAAAUUAUUGUUUUAGACGAUGUAUAUAUUUAAAAAAAUUGGGAGUUUACUUGGUCGCAGUAGUUACUUUACUAAAAAAAAAAUUAUAGUGGAGAUAGUCGCACGUAAUGACAUACCACGACCAUAUUAUUAAAAAAAAAUUCUUGUUGGAAUUCUAUUUAGUCCAAAUUGAAGUGAAAUGGAUGGAAGCUAAGUCAAAGUGUUUCUUCACUUCCACUGACUAAAUAUAUUAUCUCUAGAGUACUAGUAACUUUUUUUUUCUUUUACGUAUUUACUGUUCGGCUAAUUUGAAUUCACGUCUAGCAUAGCUCAUUAAAAAGUAAAUGCUUCCUACAAAUAAUUUAUUUGUUACCAACGCUCGCACCUUUGAUUAAUUAAGAACGAAGAAUCAUCCAUCCAAAUAUGCAUAUACUUUUUUAUAUAAUGGAUAUUCCAAUCGUCUUGUAGAUAAUAAUGGCUCUUUCCCGUACAGACAUCUAUUAUUAGUUGGUAUAAUUUCAUUUUCAGCAAUGCCAAAAAAAUAAAAUUAUAAUAAUAAAAUAACAGGUUUGCCUAUAAUGUAAAAGUGAUAUCUGCUUUUUCCACUGCGAAGCAAAUGAAUAUUUUCCAUUUUUAGUGAAGAGCAAAAGUAGUGUUCUCCACUUAAUUACUAAUCAAAUCAAAUACUAAUAAAGAAUGUAGUUAUAAAUUCCAAUUAUUAGUUAAAGGUCAAUAAAUUGAAUGUGCAUAUGUAGUGGCUGAAGAAAUGAUUUGCAGAAAACUUUAAUUCUAUGUUUAAAGAUUUAUUAAAGAAUGAGCAAUUAAUAGGAAAAAGAGGAAAUGAAAAUAGAAGAAAAUACUGGUGAGAAAAGAAUUUCACGGGUCUUGUAAUUACUACUUCCUCCUUUUCAAUUUGUUUGUCCUCGUUUGACUUGACACAAAUUUUAAAAAAGAGACGAAAAGUUUUAAAAUUUAUGGUCUUAAAUAUAUCAUAUAAUUUGUGUGGCUAUAAAUUUUUUUGAAACAUAUGGUCAUAAACAAGUCAUAAUAUUUGUUUGGUUAUAAAAACUUCUCAUUAAAAAAAUAUAAGAAUAUGCCAAACUUUUUUAAAUGGACUACAACAACUCAGUAUAAUACUCAAGCGGGAUUUGGGGAGGGUAGUGUGUACGUAGAUCUUACCUCUACCCUGGAGGAAAAUAAGUCGUUUUUGAUAAACCCUCGACAUAAGAAGAUGAAAUGAGACAAUAGAACAACAACAACAACAUACACCAGAAAAAUAAUACAAGCGACAACGAGCUAAGAAUCAGAAAAAAAAAAAAAAAAAAAAAAGCAAUAUCAAUUGUAAUUCUUUGACAAAGUGGACCAAAAAUGAGCAAAAAGGGGUAAAUUGAUGCGAUUGUGAUUAACUUUGUACAAACGUGUGAAGAAAAUUACUUUAAAAUUUCUUCUUCUUGGAAUUAACAAACUAAUAAUAUUAUAUUAUAUAAAAAUAAAAGUUGAAAUUUCAAAGUUCAAACACAAUGGAGAGUUGAAAUUUAUAAAAGGUAAGAAGAAGAAAAGUUUGGGACCUUUUUAACCCUUUUCCUUUCUUCUGAUCAACAUCAGGAAUAAAAUGAUUACAACAUAAUUAAAACAAUGGGGCCCACAUGAGCCAGAGCUACAAAUUAGGGGCCCAUCUGAAAAUUAAAAUAAAAUAAUAUAAUAAAAAAAGAGGAAAAUUUUGCAAUUCCCAAUGGUCAGUCCGUGAAUCUGUUCUUCGUGUGAUGCUGUCCCCGUCUGUAUAUCACAGUAGACUGAACAUGUGGGGUCCCUUCUGUAAUUUGGGUUUGUACUUUACACAGAAUAAUUUUUAUAGAAUAAUCUUGUGAUUGCUCAAAAUCAUAGCAAAAUAAAAUAAAAUAAAAAUUAAACCUCUUAUGUCGUGGUAAGAAAAUAGAUCUUAAAUCUAACUUUUUUUAUUUUUUCAAAAUUACCUGCAGUAUGUGAAACGCACUGAUCCAACUAAUCACAUCGUAAACGGCUGAUUUAAAGGGAAAACGCUCGCUUUCUACGAGAAAUUUUAUUUUAUUUUCAGAACUCGAAUAUAAUGCUUCUAAUUAAGGAUAAAGAAAUAACAUUCAUCAUUUUAUAUUACGCAAUUCUAUAAGCUAGCUUAUAAUGAGAUAAUUGUUCAAAGUUUUCAAAAACAAUUGUUUGAUUAAAAGAAAGAACUAUUCUUCUUUUUUCAAUACUAGAUAUUUGUCUCACUAUAUUUGUAUGUACUGUACGGCUGUGCCAUAUUUUUUUUAAAAAAAACAGCAGCUAAUUAAGUAGUAAAUAUUUGUCUCACUAUAUCACCAUACUUGCUUAUUGUUAAGACUGCGCUUGAAUUUUCUAACCCAAUUUAAUCAAUUUCCUAGUUAAUUAGGUCAGUUUCAUUAAUCAUAUUUCUUUAACUAUGAUGAAUAAUAUAAAACUAAUUGUAUAUGUUUCUCGUGUUCUCUCAGCUACAGAAUGUAAAUUAAUUAAAUGCACUAAAAUUAGAACACAUACCACUUGCACAUGAAACUACUAAAUAACAUUAUAGGUUAAAUUGUUAGCAUAUAUGCAUUAAUUAGUUAAUAACUUUUUAAGCAGUACAUAGAAUUCUUAGUGAAAAGAAAGUAAAAUUUACACUUGAAGAAAUCAUCAACUAUAUAUAUUUCCAUUCUAAAGAUAAUUAAGUAGAAGAGUUUUUAUAUUUCUUCCUUUUUGCAAAAUACAAAUAAACAAAUAAAAAAUAAUCCAAUCUGUUAGUUAUCAUUUUCAAAAUCCCUUUUGUUUCCAUUAUUACCCUCAUGAAAAUAACACAUUUAUGCUAUGAAUUUUGUCAGUACAUGCUUUGUUUAGGUUCCUGAUUGCUAAGUUCCUCUAUUUUCAACCGUAGAAUUAUUCCUAAUUUAAGGUAAAUAUUGUGGCAUUAAUAGAUGCCCUUUUCUGCUUGAAUGAUUGAGUUUGAUUUAGCAACAACCCUCCUAAUCUUGUGUAGAUGUCCUUAGCUCGAUAUGACAAUUUUUAUAUCACAAAUAUAGCACAUGAACAGUUAAUUCUUUUUCUUAGGGGUGAUAAUUUCCAAAUCACAAUCCUCAGAAUAUUUUAUUUAGACAUUCUUUUGAAUAAUGUGGGAAAUUUUUUUCUUCUGUUUAACAUUUCGGUAUCAUGAACCCACUGGCCCUAUUAGCCCAGAUUCAGCCCGUAGAAAGUCUAUUAUCCCGAGUUACGGUACUCUCCACUAGUUGUGGCAAAAUGGUUAAAAGAAAACAGUUAAUCAUUCAUAUUAUCCACUAAAAAAUUGGUUGGACAAUGAACUUUUUAAAAACGGGUCAAAUAUGGAUAAGAACCAUAUUAUCUAUUUAGAAAAUGGAUAACCAAUGGGUUUAACUUUUACAUUUGUAAAACCUCAAAACGGGGGUUCCUCAAGUUUUGGAGACUAGGAAUUCUCCCAAAAGUGAUCAUAUUCAAGAAGUCAUAGAUAAUUUAUUAUCCGCCGGUUAACUCAUUUUUUAUCCGUAUUAAAUAUGGGUUGGGUUGGAUCGGAUAAUUUAUCCAUUUUUAUUACCCGUUUUCGAUCCGACCCAUAUCCGAUCUCACCCGCCCGUUUGCCACUCAUACUCUCUACCAAAAAACACUUUAUUUUCAAGGUUCAAACUCGAGACUUUUGAAUAAAGAUACAAAAAACUUUUGUCACUUCAUCAAUCACACCCUUUUGUGGUAUGUGACAAACCUAUUUGUGAGACUUGUGGUCUUUAGGUGGUAAAGAAGAGGGGGAAAAUUAAAGAAACUAUACAUUUUGUAGAAGGUUUUGAAGCUUUUGAAAGACGAACGUUUUUCUAUUUUGUGCAUGCAUCGUUCACAAAUAAAAUCCAUUGGAAAUAAUGUAUGAGUUUAAAACUUAUAUAUGAAGAUUUUUUUACUGUCAGAUCACGUAAGCAAAAGAUUAUUACAGUUAAUUGCCUAUAAUAAGUGUAACUAAUUAUUAAAAAAUCAAAGCAGCCCGCUAUUACAUUGAAAAAACUUAUAUUAUCAAUAUUUAUAAAUUAAAUCCACAACAUAACAUCUAUACAAUACGUCCCUGCAUACACAUGUGUAUUAUAGGGUGAGACCUCCCAUUUCUUUUGACAUCGUAAAAGGGAAAAGAGCAUUGAUCAAACUACCCAUGCAACAUAUAACACUGCUAAAAAAAAUAGGGAUUAGUUACUAACAAAUCCGGUAGCAACUGAUGAUUAGCGAUAAAUUAUUUAAAAAAAUUAUUAGCUACGAGCAAUUUAGCAACAGAUCAGCAAUGAAGUUCGUAUCUAUUUUGAUUUUUUUUUUUUUGAAGUGUAACUCCCAAUAUUUUACAAGAAAAAGUGUCUAGAUCGUUGAUUGAGUUGAAGGUGGUCCACACCUUAGCAUAAUUCACUAAUAAAAUAUAAGGGACUAUACAUGUGACAUAAUUACACAAUAUGGUAUUAUGAGUCCAUAAUAUAUACUUAUAAUUCAACUGCUUUUGGCUCCAUGCACUCGGAUCCUACUACAACUGAAUUAUUCUCUCUUUUUUCCUAUAUAUUAUUACCCCACCUCUUUCUACCUACCCUACAAGAAGAAGAAAAAAAACUCAUACUUACGUGUGUAUCUGACUUCUUGAGCACAUUGUACGUUCUUCCUCAAUUUAUAUAUACAUCUCAUUCACAUGCACACGUAGGGACAUAUAAGAACCAAAGUUUCCCCAUAUUAUAUAAUGUACAGAUACAUACUCUUGAGUUUAACUUUUAUAUAUUGAUAGUACAAUAAAAUAUUCAAAUUAUUAGUUCAAAAGGUAAUUUCAAAUAAUGAUCCAUAAUAAGUGAACUUAUUAACUUAGAAAAUAUCGACAUAUAACGUGUUAUAACAGGCUAAAUACACCGAUAGGAUAAAAGAAGGGGAGUCUUAGAAUAACAGUCAAGUUGUCUCCGUGUGACUUAUAGGUCAUGGGUUCGAGUCGUGGAAUCAGCCAUUAAUGUUUGCAUCAGGGUCAGGGGCGGAUGCAACAUACAACUACUAGAUUCAACUAAACUCAAUACUUUCGACGCGUAGCAUAAAUUUAUAUGUAAAAAUUACUAAAUUUACAAUAGUAGUAAUUAUGAACCCAUAACUUUAAAAUAUAAUGGGUUCAAUGCUAAAAACUUUAAAUGUUGAACCCAUAAAAUUAAAAUCUCAGAUCCGACUCUUAUGUACGCUGCCUACAUCACACCCUCUUGGGUGUGACCUUUCCUCGAACCAUGUGUGAAUGCAGGAUACCUGUCUACAUUUAGGUGUGAAUACGAGAUACUUUGUGCACGUACUGGAUUGUCCUUACACUGAUAGGGUAAAAAUAUUAGUAUACUAUUAGUAUAUUAUCAAGGUGGUGGUGAGGAUAUGCGGGUAGUGUAAUAGAAUCUUCAAAUUAUCAGUUCAAAAGAUAAUUACAAAUUAAUGAUGAUCCAUAAUAAGUGAACUUAACACCUUAGAAAAUAUUGGCAGAUUACAUAUUAUAAUAGGUUAAAUACACUGAUCGGGUAAAAGAAAGGGAGCCUUUGGAGUAACGGUUGUUUCUGUGUGACCUAUAUAUAGAUCAUAUGUUCGAGCCGUAGAAUCAAUCAUUGUUGCUUGCAUCAUGGUAGGCUGACUACAUCACACUCCCUUAGAGUAUGAUCCUGUUCCGAACCUUGUGUGAACGCAAAAUAUUUUCUGCACCGAGCUAUCCUUUACACUGAUAGGGUAAAAAUAUUAAUAUAUUAUUAAGGUGGUGGUGAGGAUAUGGGAUGAGAUUUGGUUGUGUCCGACCACAUACGACAUCACUUGCACCCAUCCGUGGUAUAGAUUCCUUCCUUCACUCCCCAAUGCUCGUAAACAAAUAUCAAUCAUAUAUAAAAUAUAAUUUCUUAGACUCCUAUUAUACUUUCUCUCUUUUAUUAUGUUCACUAGAUGUGGUUUUGUUGGCUAAGAAUUUAGAUUUAUUUUCUUAUUUGUCAUUAAUAUAUUGAUCCUAAGAAUUAUUUGUUGAAAAUCGUAGCCCUUAAAACACGUUAUAGUGUAACAAUUUUCAAGAUACCUAUGUAGUAGGAAAGUAUAUAUAUGAUAUAGUACUACUUAUCUCU